Molecule: unclassified non-coding RNA, 253 nt
Filed under: Thermoactinomycetaceae bacterium
Lineage: Bacteria; Bacillati; Bacillota; Bacilli; Caryophanales; Thermoactinomycetaceae
Also listed under: 1 other name
Description: partial 16S ribosomal RNA
Rfam family: Bacterial small subunit ribosomal RNA
Source: RNAcentral
GACGAACCGUCCAAACGUUAUUCGGAAUUACUGGGCUUAAAGGGUGCGUAGGCGGUGCUAUAAGUCGGGUGUGAAAUCCCUCAGCUCAACUGAGGAACUGCGCCCGAUACUGUAGUACUUGAGGAAGACAGAGGUUAGCGGAACUGAUGGUGGAGCGGUGAAAUGCGUUGAUAUCAUCAGGAACACCAGUGGCGAAAGCGGCUAACUGGGUCUUUUCUGACGCUGAGGCACGAAAGCUAGGGGAGCGAACGGG